Molecule: ribosomal RNA, 60 nt
Filed under: uncultured fungus
Lineage: Eukaryota; Fungi
Description: partial 28S ribosomal RNA
Source: RNAcentral
GUGAUCUCAAAUCAGGUAGGACUACCCGCUGAACUUAACGCAUAUCAAAUAAGCGGAGAG